Molecule: ribosomal RNA, 350 nt
Filed under: uncultured bacterium
Lineage: Bacteria
Description: bacterial SSU rRNA
Rfam family: Bacterial small subunit ribosomal RNA
Source: RNAcentral
AUGAACAUCGGCCAGCUCCGUGCCGGCCCCCGCGCUAAUACGGAGGAUGGGGGCGUUAUCCGGAUUUAUUGGGUUGAAAGGGUUCGCAGGCGGCGUAUUAAGUCAGUGGUGAAAUCCCUCCCCUCAACCGAGGAACUGCCAUUGAUACUGGUAUGCUAGAGUAUAGUUGGCGUAGGGGGAAUAUUUUUUGUGGCGGUGAAAUGCUUAGAUAUGAAAUAGAACACCGAUCGCGAAGGCAGCUUACCAAACUAUAACUGACGCUCAGGAACGAAAGCAUGGGGAGCGAACAGGAUUAGAUACCCUGGUAGGCCACGCUGUAAACGAUGAUUACUCGUUGUCGGCGAUACACA